This 459-nucleotide ribosomal RNA is filed under the name uncultured bacterium. Its description in RNAcentral is "partial 16S ribosomal RNA". It matches the Rfam family "Bacterial small subunit ribosomal RNA", at positions 338 to 795 of the family's 1533-position model. The record is from RNAcentral.
CCUACGGGUGGCAGCAGUGAGGAAUAUUGGUCAAUGGACGAAAGUCUGAACCAGCCAAGUAGCGUGAAGGAUGACUGCCCUAUGGGUUGUAAACUUCUUUUAUAAGGGAAUAACACGCGGCACGUGUGCCUUUUUGCAUGUACUUUAUGAAUAAGGACCGGCUAACUCCGUGCCAGCAGCCGCGGUAAUACGGAGGAUGCGAGCGUUAUCCGGAUUUAUGGGGUUUAAAGGGUGCGCAGGCGGAAUGUCAAGUCAGCGGUAAAAUUUCGGGGCUCAACCCCGUCGUGCCGUUGAAACUGGCGUGCUUGAGUGAGCGAGAAGGAGGCGGAAUGCGUGGUGUAGCGGUGAAAUGCAUAGAUAUGACGAAGAACUCCGAUUGUGAAGGCAGCAUACUGGAGCGGAACUGACGCUGAUGCACGAAAGCGUGGGUAUCGAACAGGAUUAGAUACCCCUGUAGUC